GAAAUGCGAUAAGUAGUGUGAAUUGCAGAAUUCAGUGAAUCAUCGAAUCUUUGAACGCACAUUGCGCCCUUUGGUAUUCCUUAGGGCAUGCCUGUCCGAGCGUCAUUACGCACCCUCAAGCCCGGCUUGUGUGAUGGGCCCUGGCGUCUCGUUCGCGAGACGGGCCCGAAAGGCAGCGGCGGCGUCGACCCGAUGAGCCCGAGCGUAUGGGGACUUUUGUCACACGUUUGCGGUGCGGACCGGCGCCUGCUUGACUUUUCUGAUUAUUCAGGUUGACCUCGGAUCAGGUAGGGAUACCCGCUGAACUUAAGC
This 312-nucleotide unclassified non-coding RNA is filed under the name plant metagenome. RNAcentral's name for it is "partial contains 5.8S ribosomal RNA, internal transcribed spacer 2, and large subunit ribosomal RNA". The stretch from base 1 to 105 matches the Rfam family "5.8S ribosomal RNA", at positions 50 to 154 of the family's 154-position model. The record is from RNAcentral.